UUACCAAGAUGAAUUCGACGGCAAAAACUAAAGCAAUCAAAUGCAAUAAUGGAUCGAAUCUCUCUAAAUUUGUGAAUGCGCAUGUCUUGAAUUUCAACUGCAAAAGAUGUAAGAGAGAAACAGUUAGAAAUUUUAUCUCAAAACGGGGGGGGACAGAGAGAGAGAGAGAAGUCGAUGCUUACCUUAAAAGGCGUACGAUGUAGAUCCAUGUCGCCAAAAGAAGAAAGGGAAGAAGGAAAGGAAAAACACAAACCAAUCAAGAAGCAGACCCACCCCCCUCCACACGCUUACUUUCACCACGCCCCGCCCACAGUAGACCCAACAUCGUACUUGAUCCUCGUCUUUUCUUGAUUGCUCGCUCUGCAGGCAGGGAGAGAGGUAGAGAGAGAGAGCGAGAGAGAGAUGACGAGGGGUAAGCAGAAGAUCGAAGCGCAGAGAAGGAACGCUGAGAGGAACCAGAAGGCCAAGGGGUCUCAGCUCGAGGCCAGGGUCGUCGGCCUCAAAGUCACCUGCCCCAUUUGCAAGGUGCAACUAGCAAAUCAGAAUCAACUUGGGGAUCAUUAUGCUUCCAAACAUCCAAAGGAGAAGCCACCUACUGACUCGAGCUGAUGGCACCUUUUGUUUGUAGAAAAAUCUGGAAACUGUGGAAAAAAAAUUGAUCCACAUGUAACAAGGGUCUAUGUGAAUCACAAUAAUUCGACUCGUAUAACUUGGUGCUGCUUCUGCAAGUCUGUACUGCAACUGCAUUUGAACUAUCGCGUUGUUGCUUUUGCCUGGUUGCGUGGAGUCAGUAUUCGUAUCAUCCACAAUGGCAAUUUCGUAUAUAAUACUUUGAAAGCGAUGAUCUCUGGAGAAA
Molecule: long non-coding RNA, 856 nt
Organism: Syzygium oleosum
Lineage: Eukaryota; Viridiplantae; Streptophyta; Magnoliopsida; Myrtales; Myrtaceae
Exons: 2
Source: RefSeq, a predicted model, not a curated record